RNAcentral lists this ribosomal RNA (301 nucleotides) under uncultured bacterium. Its description in RNAcentral is "partial 16S ribosomal RNA". It matches the Rfam family "Bacterial small subunit ribosomal RNA", at positions 509 to 807 of the family's 1533-position model. The record is from RNAcentral.
CAGUCGCCGCGGGAAUACAGAGGGUGCAAGCGUUAAUCGGAAUUACUGGGCGUAAAGCGCGCGUAGGUGGUUUGUUAAGUUGGAUGUGAAAUCCCCGGGCUCAACCUGGGAACUGCAUCCAAAACUGGCAAGCUAGAGUAUGGUAGAGGGUGGUGGAAUUUCCUGUGUAGCGGUGAAAUGCGUAGAUAUAGGAAGGAACACCAGUGGCGAAGGCGACCACCUGGACUGAUACUAACACUGAGGUGCGAAAGCGUGGGGAGCAAACAGGAUUAGAUACCCCCGUAGUCCCUGUCUCUUAUAC